Gopherus flavomarginatus (Mexican gopher tortoise) is the source of this 651-nucleotide long non-coding RNA. RefSeq lists it as uncharacterized. The record is from RefSeq and is a predicted model, not a curated record. The transcript is spliced from 4 exons. NCBI's taxonomy places the organism in Eukaryota, Metazoa, Chordata, Testudines, Testudinidae.
AGGGGGUUACAGCUCUGCAACUUAGGAUGUGUACACACCUGCAGGGCAUUACCAGCGCUGCAACUCCCUGUUUGCAGCGCUGGCCGUACACCCGAUCGUGCCUCGGGUGUAGAAGAUCCAGCGCUGGAUCACCAGCACUGGUCAUCAGGUGUAGACACUCACCAGCGUUUUUGUUGACCUCCGUGGAAUAAGCAGGUAUCCCAGCAUACCUGAGGAAGCCUCUCUGGUAAUCAAGCAAACUCCACUGCCCUCCAAGCAGGUCUCCUUCCCCGCGGUGUGCUCUGGCGUUCCCCGACCCCCCCUCCAAGCAGGUCUCCUUCCCCGCGGUGUGCUCUGGCGUUCCCCGACCCCCCCUCCAAACAGGUCUCCUUCCCCGCGGUGUGCUCUGGCGUUCCCCGACCCCCCCUCCAAGCAGGUCUCCUUCCCCGCGGUGUGCUCUGGCGUUCCCCGACCCCCCCUCCAAGCAGGUAUCCAGCCCCGCGGUGUGCUCUGGCAUUCCCCAACCCCCCCUCCAAGCAGGUCUCCUUCCCCGCGGUGUGCAACAGCGCUGCAGCGUGGCCACAUCUAACACCACUUGCAGCGCUGGUUGCUGUAAGUGUGGCCACUCUGCAGCACUGGCCCUAUACAGCUGUACUAAUACAGCUGUAACAA